GCUUUUGCGCGGAGUUGUCUUAACACGGACCUUGUUUGCUGUUUUAAGUACCAGCGUACGUCUAUAAACGUAAAAUACAAGAAAACUAUUGGAUGGCGAAGCACUGGGAGAGUUCAACUUGAGGGAAUGCCAGUGUGUAACUCCGGCCCCCGCCACACUGUGCCAUCAGAGCAAGCGAGGAAUGACAAAUGACUCCAGAUCAGCUGACUUCGAUCACGAGUCAUCAAGUCAGUCAUGAAGUCAGCCUUGGCAUGUCCACCAUGAUGAGAGUGAAAAAAAAGUUCUCCUCCCAUUCCGUGUGGAAUCGGUAUGUUUUUUGGCUUCUUAAGUUUAGAAGAAAUACAUUUGAGGCUGACUGGUUAGCUCGCUAGCUUGCUUGCUGGCAGCCAUCCGGAGGCCCUGCAGCAUAGGAGCUACGCAAUGUGGCAUAAACAUCGAAUAACAGGAGUGAGAUUUCUUUUCUCUCAGUGGUGCUUGUACAGGUAGGUACUGUAUAUGUGUUUCUGUGCUAGGUGAAUGCGCCAGCAUAGGCCCAGUAGGUACUUUAAUCCUCUUUUCCGGGGACCAACCUCAUCUCCUUGCCUUUCAGAUGUGUUUAAAGGUAAGUCUCUGAGUUGCACUGUGUGUGGUAUUGUGUGAAAUCAAAGAAGGUGAGUGAGUGCAGCCAGUGAGGUAUCAGCAUCUGGCUUCAACACCGAUGGCUUUGCUCUAGGGCAAAGGAUGUGUGAAAUUGAAGUGAGGCUACAUAUUGUCACCCAUUGCGAAACUCUGAAAUGUCAGUCUUUCACUCAUAAAUUGAUGAUGCCAAAUGCUUUUUAUAGCUUGAAUCAGGAGGGAUGGUGAUGAUGCUUGGCAGAAGUGAACUAGCAGGAUUAUACAGUAUGUCUUUUUCGAAGACACCUGCACUGUCAAAAUGAGGGUUACAACAAAUGCACACUGGGAAAAAUAUAAUAAAUGUGCCAUUAUGCACAAUCUCUAAGGAAGAAAAAAAGUCUCUGUUUCAGUAUCUCUGCACUGGGACCAAUCAGUGUGUUUUUGCUGAGGUGUGAAGUGUUCAAGCAAGUGUGCAUGCAUGCAUAAAUAUGUGAGUGUAUGUACUCAGCAUUUCAAUGCUCAGGAGAGUUGUUUAAGGUAUCAGAAACAGGAGUAUUUUGAG
This is a long non-coding RNA of Dunckerocampus dactyliophorus (ringed pipefish), 1156 nucleotides long. RefSeq lists it as uncharacterized. The transcript has 4 exons. Lineage: Eukaryota; Metazoa; Chordata; Actinopteri; Syngnathiformes; Syngnathidae. The record is from RefSeq and is a predicted model, not a curated record.